RNAcentral lists this unclassified non-coding RNA (217 nucleotides) under plant metagenome. Its description in RNAcentral is "partial contains small subunit ribosomal RNA, internal transcribed spacer 1, and 5.8S ribosomal RNA". The record is from RNAcentral.
UCUCCGUAGGUGAACCUGCGGAGGGAUCAUUACAAGUGACCCCGGUCUUACCACCGGGAUGUUCAUAACCCUUUGUUGUCCGACUCUGUUGCCUCCGGGGCGACCCUGCCUUCGGGCGGGGGCUCCGGGUGGACACUUCAAACUCUUGCGUUACUUUGCAGUCUGAGUAAACUUAAUUAAUAAAUUAAAACUUUUAACAACGGAUCUCUUGGUUCUG